AGUUUACGUGUAGGUGCCUGCUGGAGCGGACAGGCUGGGAGCUGUGUGUGAGUGCAGGGAAGCUGCUCUGCUGAACAGGCGAUGGGUCUGAAGAUUGUCUGGAGGCAUGGCUGUCUGUACAAGAAGUCCGCGGAGGAAUAGAAACUAACUUUUGAAGAAAACACGGAAUAAAAGGGGGAAAGAAAGAAGAGCAGAAGCCCAAAGCACGGUCCACAGUCCAGCGUCGGCGACCAGGUGGACCACCUGUCUCUGGCCUCCCUGGAGUCGUUGGACACCAUGUCUGAGGCCGACGCGCCCUCUGCAUUCACCCGCGGCAGCCGGAUUCGUGCAAGCCUGCCUGUGGUGCGGUCAACCAACCAGACAAAGGACCGCUCUCUAGGUGUGCUGUAUCUGCAGUACGGAGACGAUACCAAACAGAUCCGCAUGCCUAAUGAGAUCACCAGCAUCGACACUGUCAGAGCUCUGUUUGUUAGUGCCUUCCCGCAGAUGCUCACCAUGAAGAUGCUCGAGUCUCCCAGCGUGGCCGUCUACGUCAAAGACGACAUGAGGAAUAUGUACUACGAACUCACUGAUGUCAGGAGCAUCACAGACCACUCCUGCCUGAAGGUCUACCACAAAGACCCAGCACAAGCGUUCAGCCAUGGACCAAGACCUGCUAACGGCGAUGCCAGGAUGCACAGUGAGAUGGUAAAUGCUGCUCGUGAUGGCCCGCACCCUCUCAGACAACCCCCCAUGGGUCCCCCCCCACACCCUAUGCAAGGAGCAAUACCCCCAUCUCCUCACUCCAUGCCCCCAUCCCCCUCCAGAAUCCCAUUUGGCCCACGGCAGGGCUCUUUACCUGCCAACUCCACUAUCCCAAGGGAACGGCUGGCUAAUGCCAACCCUCCGGCACGCUCCAUCUCGCCGUGUCCCAGUGCCAUUCUAGAGAGGCGGGACGUCAAACCCGAUGAGGACAUGGGGGGUAAAAGCCACAGUCUAUCCAGGGGAAAUGAGGGCUUGUAUGCAGACCCUUACUUGCUCCAAGAGGGAAGGAUGAACAUGGCUGCCCACGGACCACAUCCCAAUCCUGGGCUUGAUGGACCAGAACACAUGGGGGGAUUUCAUCGUGCCUCCAUCCGCUCCACAAGCUCUUACGGAGGUCCCAGCCCCACAGACAGUAUUGAUCACCCCUCACUUUACAGGCAGAAGUCUAGGAACAGCCAGUUGCCUACUUUGGGCUCCAAGACACCUCCCCCAUCCCCUCACCGCAUGGCUGAGGUUCGCAUGAUUGACAUCCAUGGUGGGCCUCCUCAUGGCCUUCCACCUCAUGGUGUGCCCAUGGAGAGAAGCUCACCUGUGCGCCAGUCCUUCAGGAAGGAGGAAAUGACAGGGACCAAGCCGAGGAGCAACAUGGGAUCGCCUAUAGUUGCCGAGCUCCAGGGUCACCUCCAGGGUCCCAUACCGCCCGCUGGCGACCAUCAGACACGUGAGAGACCACCGAAGACGUCAUCUCCAGCCCACAGCGCCCAUAGCUCAGGCGGUUCCCCCAUCAUGGCUCCUAAGAGGAGUGCACCACCAUCAGACAAGGGCUCAGUUCCUCUCAAAGCCAACCUUCUGCAGUUCAGGAAGAAUGUUUCCGACCUCAGGAUGCAGCUCCAUCAGAUGAGACAGCAGCAGCUCCAGAACCAGGAGGCGUUACGGAUCCAGCUGAAGCGGGCUGAGCAGGAAAUCAGUGUGAAACUUGCAGAGGCUAUGCGAGGUCUAGAGGACCCUGUUCAGAGGCAGAGAGCUUUGGUAGAAGAGGACAGGCACAAGUACUUGGGUCUGGAGGAGUGUGUUCUCACACAGCUCAGCGAUCUGGAGCAGUAUGUAGGCUCUCUGCAGAAAGAGUCGACAGCAGCACAGAGAGUAGUGACCCUGAAGGACGUGGAGGAGGGAGCAGUGACUCUGAGGAAGGUUGGAGAAUCUCUGGCCGGGCUGAAAGGAGAGUUCCCGGCCCUACAAACCAGAAUGCGGGCUGUGCUCAGGGUGGAAGUGGAAGCAGUCAAGUUCCUGAAGGAGGAGCCUCACAAGCUGGACAGCAUGCUGAAAAGGGUCAAGAGCCUGACAGACAUGCUCAGCGGUCUGAGAAGAGCUGCCUCUGAGAGCCUUCAUAAAGGACAUGAUUCAUCUGCUAAUGCCCCGGUGGAUAACAGCCCUUCAGCAGCAGCUGCUGCAGCAGCCCCUGUAGAAACUCCCCCAGCAUCAGCCCAGCCUGGCCCCACAUCAGCCACGCCAGAGCCCCAGAGCUCCACCAUCAGAUCAGAGGUGAUGCCCUCCUCUCCAGUGGUCAUCCACCAUGUCCAGAGCUCCCCGGUCCACAUGCAGCAGUCCCAGCAGUCUGCGGCCUUGACAGCUCAGCCCAGUCCUCCGCUCACCCCGAGUCCCAUCCCGGGCAAGAGUCAAGGCCGUGAAUCACCAAAGGGGGCAGGCUCAGAUCCACCAAGCCCUGCACGUCUGAAGAAGACGCAUGGGAACUCGUCGAAUAGCAGCAAUGGCACUGCCAGCCAGGGUCUUGUUAUAGAGGAGCUGCAGAACAGCAAGGACAAGAGCAAAAACAGAGCUAUAUCCAUAGAGGCAGCAGAAAAGGAAUGGGAGGAGAGGAGGAUGAACAUGGGUCAUUAUGAUGGGAGGGAGUUUGAGAAGAUACUGCAGGAGGCCCAGGCCAACAUGAUGAAGGGCAUACCCAGUCUAGAGGUGGAAGAAAACCCUGCAGUGCCCCCUGUGGCCACUGGAGAGCAACCAGACAUCAAAAAUAACCCUGUAGAGCCACAGCCAGAAGAGGCCCAGCCUGAGUCUCCCGCUGACAAAGCAGUCAAGAAGGGGCCUGAGAAACUCCCGAAGCCUGUGCUGGAGAAACCUGCCAAACCUGCACUGGAGAGACCCUCCAAGACUGCCACCAAACCAGCUCCCACUGACAGUUUGAACAAACAGGGGUCUGAAAAAGCCAGCAAGUCCCCACCACCUCCUCCACCAAGGAAGACCUUUAACAGCUCAAGCUCAGGCAUGACCACCACACGCUCUGGUGAGGUGGUCUACACAAACAGGAAGGAGUCCGUAUCGGCUCAGGAGGUUGAGGAAGAAGCUCCACCUCCCUCUCCUCAAUCCAAGCCCGCCAAGUUUCCCCCAGAAACCAAGCCGAAGCCAGCCACCCCUCCACCUGUUACUGCUUCUGCGACCAGAGAAGAGGAGGAUGAAGGGGACAAGAUCAUGGCAGAGCUUCAGGUUUUCCAGAAGUGCACAGUUAAGGAUGUAGGGGUGAAAAAUUUGGUAGAACCCACCACUCGAAUUGAGCCACAAAUCAGAGAGCUCAGACCCGGGGCCUUAGUGCCCCUCAAAGAGAAAAAGCAGAGCUCAGAGCCCAGUCGUGAGGAUAAAGAUCCAGACACAGAUGAAAAUGGGAAUACUCCUCUCAGACAGAGCCAGGGGGUCAUUUAUUACGUGACUGGUCAGAUCCCCAAAGAGCAGCCACCUUCAUCUGGAACAGAGGAAACCCCCGAACACAGAGAACCCACACAGCCUCCAUCACAGGUGUCAAAUGUCAAUGUUAAUGACGAUUCUUCAAGCCAGCAGCAGCAGCAGCAGCAGGAGCCACCACUGUCUCCACCACCUAAAUCCCCUGUAACACCACCGCCUAUAUCCCCCAAACCUGUGGGACUUAAAGGAUUCAAACUUCCAAGGAAACAAGUUAAACGUUCUGAGUCCUUGAAGACCAGCACAGAAAUGGAGAAGGGGAAAAUCCUGAACAAAAUUAAUACAGAAAAGAAAAUUAAAGCUGUCCAGCAAAAUGUUUCUACUAUUAAAAAUUCAGCACCUGAGCCUGUGGUGACCACGACAACAACGACCGUUAAGGAGUCGCGUAAAAGUUCUGUUGCGCCACCAAAUCUGCCUCCUAGUGAGGAGAGUUAUCCAAAUAAAGAUAACAUUUUCGAGGAUAAUGAUGAGGCUAGUCUUAGUCCUGACCUACCAGGAGAAGAGCCUCCUCCACCUCCUGACAACAUAGCGUUUAUGAUCACCAACACUAAAGUUCAGGCUCUGUCUUGUGGCGAGUACCAGGAACUGGUCAAUGCUAAGAGAGGAAGCGUCCAAACUGUUACUGUGGGUAAUGCGUCAAAUAGGGGAAACAACACAGAGGAUUUCACUGAACAACAGGAUAAUGGCUUCAACAAAAAGCCAGUCAUCAUCAUUUUUGACGAACCCAUGGACAUCCGCUCUGCCUACAAGCGCCUGUCCACCAUCUUUGAAUGUGAAGAGGAACUGGACAGGAUGCUGGCAGCAGAGCGCAUCGAUGAGGAAAGCGAAGAGUCAGACACGGAAAGGAGCAGUGGGCUGCAUGUUAAAUCUGAAGGGGAUGAAGUUGUUGAUGGCAAAAAGAGCAUCUCUUCACGGGGUAAUGUGGACCGUAUUAGCUUGUCAUCUUCGUCUUCAUCGUCAAUCUCUGAGCUGACUGAUGGUGUGCAAGAGUCAAAUGGUGACGCCAAGCAGGAUGGUAAGAAGAAGUUCAAGUUUAAGUUCCCCAAGAAACAGCUGGCGGCGCUGACCCAGGCUAUCCGGACUGGCACCAAGUCAGGCAAGAAGACUUUACAGGUGGUUGUGUACGAAGACGAGGAGGAGAGUGAUGGCACUGUCAGGCAACACAAAGAGGCGAAGAGAUUUGAGAUCGUGCGAUCAAAGUCUUUAGCAGAACCUCCCUCGGAAACAGGCUCGACAGCAUCGAAGAAGCAGAACCCCGACUCCAUCGGCAGGACCAAUGAGAUCCGAAAGAACACCUAUAAAACUCUAGACAGCCUGGAGCAGACCAUCAAGCAGCUGGAGACCACCAUCAGUGAGAUGGGACCCUGCUCCCCUGGGGAGCCAGCCUCCGUGGAGGAAGCUAAAACAGGCAAUGGGAAAAGUUCAGAAGGAGUGGGGCUGAAGAGGUCCUCCUCUCUCCCUACAUCCAGAGGGUCAGGCCCUAAGGUACCAAGCAAAAAUUCAUUGCAGAAGAAGACUAAACCUCAGCUUCUCCCUCGCCCUGUAGUCCUCCCUACUACCACCACCACCACCACCACCACCACCACCACUAUUCCCAGUGCCCCCAGCACCGUACAGCAGGUCUCUCUCUAGCUCUUGUUGCCCUGGGAGGCUUUGGGUCCUUCUUUUUUCAGUCUACCUUCACUUCAACCCUAACCACCAAAAUUACCAAAUCAUUAAUCCACUCCACAGGUGCUUGGAAAUGUUUGAAAUGGUGUUUCUCCCUCUGUGAAAUCAUGGUGACAUGAUUGGGGAUCGGCAUUUUAUUGGGGUUCCUGGCUACCACAUUUCUCCUUAAGUUCACUGCUAAAAACUGAGGUUUUCAGCAAGUGGCAAGCUGAUCAUCAAAGACACACUCAUGAUGUCUAAACUGAUACCUUCCUUACCCUUGAAUGCAUGUACUACUGUGUAUUGACUUAAAGGUUAUGGUCUCACUGGGUGCAUGAUCUUUCACUGGUGUUGAUUUUGAGGUUUUGAAUGAAGUUCUCUGUAAGUGCCUUGAUUUUUCAUACUUCCUAUGUGGUGUGUUUUUUUCUUUCUUUUGUUUUAUUUCUUGUUCUGUUUUUCGUUUGGAUCCCCUUGCAGAACACCAGUGUCGCUUCCCCUACUAGUCGGAUGCCCGUCCCUUUGUCUACGAAGUCCAGGCAGUCGCCGAGUACAACAGACAAAGCAGGAAAACCGCAAAAACUGCAGGACGCUCAGAGGCAGUUCCGACAGGCUAACGGAAGUGCUAAAAGAGUGGGAGGGGAUCAUAAAACUACUUCCCCUACUAUACCCAUCUCUAAAAUCCCUGCUUUUUAUCCUAGCUCUACUAAAGGCAGCUCCCAGUGUGCACAAAACUCAGAAGCUACUAAUCCCAUUAACCCAUCCUCCUCCUCUUCCUCCUCCUCCUCCUCCUCCUCCUCCUCUUCCCCCGUGACAAAGUCCUCUAUCCUGUCCUCUCACAGUCCUCGUUCUGGUUCCCUUCCCUCCUCCCACAUCCCCUCCCUGUCUAACGGAUCCCUCAAACUCCCCGCACCCUCACAGCACACAGGUAAAGCUCUCUCGUUCUCCUCGCAGACUCAGAAUGGUCGAGUGCACUCCUCCUCCACCUCUUCAUUCUCCUCCUCCUCCUCCUCCUCCUCCUCCUCCCCCUCCCCUCUGUCGCCCACACCUUUGGGCCCAGGCGGAAAGAGCAUCCGCACCAUACACACCCCCAGCUUCACCAGCUACAGGUCCCACAACGGCAGCAGCGGCAAAUCCUGCAUCCCAACAGCCACAGCAGCUAAGGACGCUACCUAGCUCCAAUAUGGCCGCUCAGGCCUUACCCAGUAGCAGGUAGACCAGGUCAUGUUCCAUGUUGUAAACUCUUGGCUUGUUGUUUAUUUUGUCUGUGUGGUUUUUUUUGUAAGUAUUACACAAUGCACUCUCCUAAAUCAUGUUUUCUUUGACACUGGCAUCUUCACACCAAUGCUUCUAUCUCCUUUAAGUUGCAUUUCCCCAACUUUGAAAACGACAUACUUGGAUUCUGCUUCUUUCUCGAAGGUGUACCAGAUGUUUCUGAUAAAAUAUUUUGUAAUGGAACUAAAAAAUAUUUAGUUUUACCACUUUGUAGUUGAAGUGGAAGUGCUCUCAUGGUGUUGAAAAUCUAUUUUUCUUGCUGUAACUAUGAAUAUAGAGAAUAUAUAGAGUUGAUGUACAAUCGCAACAUACCUUGUAAAAAGUUUGUUUUAUUUUUCAAACCAGAGAUUGAAUAACAAUAGUAUAUUUAAUCUUCUAUAUUUCUUAUGUUGCCAGACAUCCAACAAAACCCUUGUAAAUGCCUUUUCUGAAUGUAUACAAAAUGUAUACAGACAUUUUAAAGUUAAACUCAUUGUUAACCUCUGUUUUCUAAGAGUAUUUUCUCAUUUUUGACCAUAUGAACUGCCAAUUUCUUUUACAGAUGUGGUUUCAUGAGUAAUACCAGUUUUCUUUUUAGUGUGCCUAUUUGCCAAAGUUGUUGUACAAUGACUCACUUCAGGCUUAACCCAGUCACAAGAUGUAGGGGAAUUAACAUGCACUCUCUGGACAUGGUGUUCGUGGCUGAAGUGGAGUGACCUCAGUGUUCGUACUGCUGGUCUCAAUUUAAGUUAACAUGUCUUGUUGUCUAAAUGUAAACUGUACUAAAAGCAAAGUGAUGAAUCAGUUCUACCACGUGUACAUAGAUGCUUCUACUAAGAAAAUGAGUAGUUUUUUUUAACAUACCAAAGUUUAUUUGUAUGCAUGCCUUUCAAAUACUUUUAGGAGAGUGGUGUAAAAGAAUGAUGUUUGCACAGAUAGAUUUUGUAAAUAUCUGGUUUUCUCUCAUUUUGUAAAGCUUUAAAUCAUACUAUAACAGAGCAGUGUGCUAAAGACAAAACUGUGUUGGAGUAGCAAAAAAUAAAGACUUGCAUGCUUGUAAUG
Molecule: RNA transcript, 7452 nt
Organism: Notolabrus celidotus (New Zealand spotty)
Lineage: Eukaryota; Metazoa; Chordata; Actinopteri; Labriformes; Labridae
Gene name: sickle tail protein homolog
Exons: 18
Source: RefSeq, a predicted model, not a curated record